Molecule: long non-coding RNA, 659 nt
Filed under: Equus caballus (horse)
Lineage: Eukaryota; Metazoa; Chordata; Mammalia; Perissodactyla; Equidae
Description: lncRNA (ENSECAG00000055874.1)
Source: RNAcentral
CUUCAAUAUUUAACAUCUUAUUAUGCAGUCUUUGUUGGAAAAGUGGCCUGGUAACAUGCUGGGUCUAAUUUACACCCUUUCCUGUUGUGGGAGAAGCAACACCGACUGUCAAUGUUUACAGAGCCGUGCCAUCUCCCCGCUGGGAGCUGGAUGCGGAGGAGGCUGGAACAGCCAGCAGAGCCUCCUGGACUUCUUCUGUUUUCCUCUGAGCCCACGGUGGCCCCCUGCCCCGGUAUUGCCUCUAAUCUGGAGGGUGUGCUCUCUGGACCUCAUCCCAGGGGGCCGAGGUUUCUCCCAGGGCUGGAAGGCUUUUCUCUGUGUGUGGCGGCUGGAAAUAUUUCAACUGAGGGCAGGAGGAGGCUCUGCCAAGACCGUCUGUCCUUCCUCACUGUCCUCCGAGGCUGCACCGAUGGACAGCGUCUUCCUGCAGCGAAAUCUGUCCCUCGGGGCCCUCAGGCUUCUGAGGAAAGACGAGGGGAGGCCACAUCUGUGGGUAUUUGCUGUGGCACCUUCCUGGGGCUGCUCUGUGAGGCUGGAUUGUAUUCCGUGGUGUUUUCCUUGGCUCAUCACCAAACACAGCUUGCUUGGAGGUGGAAGAAACGAAUUUGUUAACAAUUCUCAGGCAGAACAGGCCAGAGGGAGGUAGGGGGCAGAAUUAG